This 465-nucleotide ribosomal RNA is filed under the name uncultured Thiobacillus sp. Its description in RNAcentral is "bacterial SSU rRNA". It matches the Rfam family "Bacterial small subunit ribosomal RNA", at positions 916 to 1381 of the family's 1533-position model. Lineage: Bacteria; Pseudomonadati; Pseudomonadota; Betaproteobacteria; Nitrosomonadales; Thiobacillaceae. The record is from RNAcentral.
AGACGGGACCCGCACAAGCGGUGGAUGAUGUGGAUUAAUUCGAUGCAACGCGAAGAACCUUACCUACCCUUGACAUGUCCGGAACUUGCCAGAGAUGGCUUGGUGCCCGAAAGGGAAUCGGAACACAGGUGCUGCAUGGCUGUCGUCAGCUCGUGUCGUGAGAUGUUGGGUUAAGUCCCGCAACGAGCGCAACCCUUAUCAUUAGUUGCUACGCAAGGGCACUCUAAUGAGACUGCCGGUGACAAACCGGAGGAAGUGGGGAUGACGUCAAGUCCUCAUGGCCCUUAUGGGUAGGGCUUCACACGUCAUACAAUGGUCGGUACAGAGGGUUGCCAAGCCGCGAGGCGGAGCCAAUCCCACAAAGCCGAUCGUAGUCCGGAUUGUUCUCUGCAACUCGAGAGCAUGAAGUCGGAAUCGCUAGUAAUCGCAGGUCAGCAUACUGCGGUGAAUACGUUCCCGGGUCUU